This is a non-coding RNA of Rattus norvegicus (Norway rat), 69 nucleotides long. The record is from Rfam. NCBI's taxonomy places the organism in Eukaryota, Metazoa, Chordata, Mammalia, Rodentia, Muridae.
GGGGAUUUGGCUCAGUGGCAGAGCGCUUGCCUAGGAAGCGUAAGGCCCUGGGUUCGGUCCCCAGCUCCG